GCCUUAUCAAGAGUGGUGGAGGAAUCAGGUCCUGUGAAGCCCGGCAACCUGUUAUAGUGCGUGCGGUAGUUACCGUUCGUAUCUUGUCAAGGUGCCAAAUCCUGCGGUUAUUUCCGGAAGAUGAGGA
Molecule: non-coding RNA, 127 nt
Filed under: Hominimerdicola alba
Lineage: Bacteria; Bacillati; Bacillota; Clostridia; Eubacteriales; Oscillospiraceae
Description: Ruminococcus albus SAM-I sequence
Rfam family: SAM riboswitch aptamer (S box leader)
About the family: The SAM riboswitch is found upstream of a number of genes which code for proteins involved in methionine or cysteine biosynthesis in Gram-positive bacteria.
Source: RNAcentral